UUCUGGUUGAUCCCGCCGGACCUGACUGCUAUCGGAUUGAUACUAAGCCAUGCGAGUCUUUGUAGUAAUACAAGGCAGACGGCUCAGUAACACGUAGUCAACCUACCCUAUGGACGAGAAUAAUCUCGGGAAACUGAGCAUAAUUCUUGAUAGAUCAUAAUGCCUGGAAUGGUUUAUGGUUAAAAUGAUUCGUCGCCAUAGGAUGGGGCUGCGGCCUAUCAGCUUGUUGGUGAGGUAAUGGCCCACCAAGGCGAUUACAGGUACGGGCUCUGAGAGGAGAAGCCCGGAGAUGGGUACUGAGACACGGACCCAGGCCCUAUGGGGCGCAGCAGGCGAGAAAACUUUGCAAUGUGCGAAAGCACGACAAGGUUAAUCCGAGUGAUUUCUGCUAAAGAAAUCUUUUGCCAGUCGUAAAACCGCUGGUGAAUAAGGGGUGGGCAAGUUCUGGUGCCAGCAGCCGCGGUAAU
RNAcentral lists this ribosomal RNA (467 nucleotides) under uncultured archaeon. Its description in RNAcentral is "bacterial SSU rRNA". It matches the Rfam family "Archaeal small subunit ribosomal RNA", at positions 1 to 474 of the family's 1478-position model. The record is from RNAcentral.